UACGAAGGGGGCUAGCGUUGUCCGGAAUCAUUGGGCGUAAAGCGCGUGUAGGCGGUCCGGUAAGUCCGCUGUGAAACUCGAGGCUCAACCUCGGGCUUGCAGUGGGUACGGGCAGACUAGAGUGCGGUAGGGGUGACUGGAAUUCCUGGUGUAGCGGUGGAAUGCGCAGAUAUCAGGAGGAACACCGAUGGCGAAGGCAGGUCACUGGGCCGCAACUGACGCUGAGGAGCGAAAGCAUGGGGAGCGAACAGG
RNAcentral lists this ribosomal RNA (252 nucleotides) under uncultured bacterium. RNAcentral's name for it is "partial 16S ribosomal RNA". It matches the Rfam family "Bacterial small subunit ribosomal RNA", at positions 524 to 776 of the family's 1533-position model. The record is from RNAcentral.